UACGUAGGGUGCGAGCGUUAAUCGGAAUUACUGGGCGUAAAGUGUGCGCAGGCGGCCGAGCAAGUCGAGUGUGAAAGCCCCGAGCUUAACUUGGGAACUGCGCUCGAAACUACUUGGCUAGAGUGUGGCAGAGGGAGGUGGAAUUCCACGUGUAGCGGUGAAAUGCGCAGAUAUCAGGAAGAACACCCGUGGCGAAGGCGGUUCUCUGGGACGGUACUGACGCUGAGACGCGAAAGCGUGGGGAGCGAACAGG
Molecule: ribosomal RNA, 253 nt
Filed under: uncultured bacterium
Lineage: Bacteria
Description: partial 16S ribosomal RNA
Rfam family: Bacterial small subunit ribosomal RNA
Source: RNAcentral